AUAAAAUUUUAUAGUUUAUAUAAUUUAUUUUAAAUUUAUUUUACAUAUAAAUUUUAGUAAAUAUUUUAUUUUAUUUUAAUAAUAAAAUAUUUAAUUAAGUAGUAAUUAAUAUUAAAAAUUUAAGAAAUUAAGAUUUAGUAAUAUAAAAAUUAAAAACUAAUUUUGUGCCAGCAGUUGCGGUUAAACAAAAUUUAAAAUAAAUUUUUUUAGUAAUUAAUUAUUAAAAAUUUAUAAAUUAAUUUAAAUUUUAAAUUAUUAAGUGAAAUUUUAAUUUAAUAAAAAAUUAAAAUUUUUAUUUAUGAUAAUUAAUAAAUUUUAAAAAAAACUAGGAUUAGAUACCCUAUUAUGAAAAAUUUAAAAUAAAUAUACUAAAAUAGUAAUUAAUUUUUUAUUGAAACUUAAAUAAAUUGGCGGUAUUUUAGUUCAUUUAGAGGAAUCUGUUUAAUAAUUGAUAUUCCACGAAUAAAUUUACUUAAUUUAAUAAUUUGUAUAUCGUUGUUAAAAAAAUAUUUUAAAAUAAUUAAUAAUAUUUAAAAAUUUAAAUUUAAAAUUAAAUCAGAUCAAGAUGUAGUUUAUAAUUAAGAAUAUAAUGGAUUACAAUAAAUUUAUUUAAAUGAAUAUAAAUUUGUAAAAAUUUAUUGAAGGUGAAUUUAAAAGUAAUUUUAUUUAGUUUUUUAAAAUGAUUAAAAAUUAAAAUAUGUACAUAUUGCCCGUCACUUUCAUAUAUAAGUUGAAAUAAGUCGUAACAAAGUAGAGGUACUGGAAAGUGUUUCUAGAAUGU
Molecule: non-coding RNA, 781 nt
Filed under: Dendrolimus superans (Japanese hemlock caterpillar)
Lineage: Eukaryota; Metazoa; Arthropoda; Insecta; Lepidoptera; Lasiocampidae
Source: RNAcentral